RNAcentral lists this ribosomal RNA (497 nucleotides) under uncultured bacterium. RNAcentral describes it as "partial 16S ribosomal RNA". It matches the Rfam family "Bacterial small subunit ribosomal RNA", at positions 28 to 507 of the family's 1533-position model. The record is from RNAcentral.
GAUGAACGCUGGCGGCGUGCCUAACACAUGCAAGUCGAGCGAACAGACGAGGAGCUUGCUCCUCUGACGUUAGCGGCGGACGGGUGAGUAACACGUGGAUAACCUACCUAUAAGUCUGGGAUAACUUCGGGAAACCGGAUCUAAUACCGGAUAACAUGUUGAACGGCAUGGUUCAGCAGUGAAAGACGGUUUUGCUGUCACUUAUAGACGGAUCCGCGCCGCAUUAGCUAGUUGGUAAGGUAACGGCUUACCAAGGCAACGAUGCGUAGCCGACCUGAGAGGGUGAUCGGCCACACUGGAACUGAGACACGGUCCAGACUCCUACGGGAGGCAGCAGUAGGGAAUCUUGCGCAAUGGGCGAAAGCCCGACGGAGCAACGCCGCGUGAGUGAUGAAGGUCUUCGGAUCGUAAAACUCUGUUAUUAGGGAAGAAAAAAUGUGUAAGUAACUAUGGACGUCUUGACGGUACCUAAUCAGAAAGCCACGGCUAACUACGUG